CUACUGCUCCAUGGACAGCAUGGGGGGUGUGUUUUUCUCACAACUUCAGUUUGAGGCAAGAUAGAAUCAGUGCUCAAUACUGCUGGAGGUGAGAGGAAGGGCAUCCCCCCUCCGAAUUGCUGGUCAGGAGAUACUGCAGCAGGAGUCUGAAGCUGAUAUUACUGGAUUUGGGUUUUCUUGCUGGUAUGAAGAUGAUCAGAAUCUGGCCUAGGGUGAGGGUGUUUGUGCUUUGGCAGUGGGUGUGAAAGCAGAAACUCCAGAGGGUUGGGCGGCAACAUGCUAGUUCUGUUCUCUUCCGUAGAUGGCCUUCCGGAGACACGCUGGGUGAGUGGAAAAUGUAAUGAAAUUCCCAGAGCCUCCUGGUGCACUACCAAGUCACAGGAAUCCAAUACAGUAUCAAGGAGCAAUUGCAGAAGGGCAACCCCUCACCAGUGGCGGUAGUAGCAAUACUUAGCUUACAGAGAAAUUAGUGGUCUCAACUGCUCCAUUGUUACAGAAGCUGUUGCAAGUGGAUCCUAACAGGAAACAGAGCCGUAUGUCUCAGAAGGAAGGACCAGCUCUGCCAUUUGAACAAUCCUGCUCCAUCUGCUGCUGCUGCUCCUAUUGCUGUAGCUGUGUAUGGAGUGGCAACUCCGUGAUGCCAGGGUUGCAGACACUUCAUCAUUCUGUCUGUCCUUGCUUGUGUGUUCCCAAUAAACCACGCUAGGAGAGGUCAUCACAAACUUGCAUUUUAGUGCUAGGCUUCAAUGGUUCAAGUUUGUUAGAAAUAAGAUGUCUGCCAUUGGCAAUUAGGACUGCUGGGAUAAAAAUUCCCUGGGCAUUCAGACCUGCAUUCAGACCCCUAUUGCUGGGGAUACUGCUGUUGCUGUGAGUUAGCUCCCAGAUGUGGUCUUUACAAGCCUGCUCUCACCAUGAGGGAUAAGAUCAUGGACAAAAACUAGCCAGAUCUAUUCCAUAGUUUGUCAUGUGUAGGCUAAACCUGUUCUGGGUUUAAUUCUCAGCUCCAGCUAAACUUUUAUUUCAGUGGAAACAGUAGUCUGCACAGCUGGCCUCAUAUUUCAUGGGUGGUAUGGAAAAAGGAGUCAGAGACGCUUCUGCAGUUUUCUGUCCUUAUCAGUGUGCAAUACUAAGGGUAAAACCAGGCAUCUCAUAGAGCAUCAGAGAGGCCAGAAGGUCUACUUUGCUCUGUGUGGGGUUUUAUUGAGAUGGAUGUGGCCUGCACAGCCUGGAGCACAAGUUGUUUGUUUUAAUUUAGAAAUUAAAAAUAAAACCAUGUUUAUUUGCAUCAGUAAAGGGGUCUUUUUCUCACAGCUGCUUGAGAAGUGAGCUCUAGCUGCCAAGUAAAAUAAGGUUUAAUGUUACAGCUUGCACUGGGAAGAGCAGAGCUGGUAACUGCUCUGCAAGCAGCAAGACAGUAGUAGGUACAAUAUAUAGAAAUCCAUGUGAAGAACAGAACUCAGC
Long non-coding RNA from Pezoporus occidentalis (night parrot), 1461 nucleotides. RefSeq lists it as uncharacterized. The record is from RefSeq and is a predicted model, not a curated record. Lineage: Eukaryota; Metazoa; Chordata; Aves; Psittaciformes; Psittacidae. The transcript has 3 exons.